RNAcentral lists this ribosomal RNA (454 nucleotides) under uncultured Prevotella sp. RNAcentral describes it as "partial 16S ribosomal RNA". It matches the Rfam family "Bacterial small subunit ribosomal RNA", at positions 341 to 792 of the family's 1533-position model. The record is from RNAcentral. Lineage: Bacteria; Pseudomonadati; Bacteroidota; Bacteroidia; Bacteroidales; Prevotellaceae.
ACGGGAGGCAGCAGUGAGGAAUAUUGGUCAAUGGACGGAAGUCUGAACCAGCCAAGUCGCGUGCAGGAUGACGGCCCUAUGGGUUGUAAACUGCUUUUAUAUGGGGGUAAAAAACGGUACGUGUACUGUCUUGCAGGUACCAUAUGAAUAAGGACCGGCUAAUUCCGUGCCAGCAGCCGCGGUCAUACGGAAGGUCCAGGCGUUAUCCGGAUUUAUUGGGUUUAAAGGGAGCGUAGGCGGCUUGUUAAGCGUGGUGUGAAAUGUAGAUGCUCAACAUCUGAAUUGCAGCGCGAACUGGCUGGCUUGAGUGCGCAGGUAGUUGGCGGAAUUCGUCGUGUAGCGGUGAAAUGCUUAGAUAUGACGAAGAACUCCGAUUGCGAAGGCAGCUGACUGGAGCGUAACUGACGCUGAAGCUCGAAAGUGCGGGUAUCGAACAGGAUUAGAUACCCUGGUA